ACGGGGAGGAGGAGGGGCUGCGGCGGGGCAGCGGCGACUCGCGGCGGCGGCGGCGCUGGAAGUUCCCGAGUUCCAGCGUCGCAAGAAUGGGAAGCGAGCGAAGCCAAAAUGCCCCCGGGGAGCGCGGCCCCGCUGGGGAGGCCCGGCACUUCCACUCCGCCCGCUCGCCGCGGCUCCCCCGUAGCCCAGCCCGCUCCCUCGGAGCCAGCCAGGGACCUCGGGGCGCUGCCAGGGGCUUUGGCAUCUGCGCAUGAGACGUGCGGGACUGACGAAUCUCGUGCCUUCCAGCAGCGAUGGGCAAGAGGAGGAGUGUUGCGAACGCGGGGACGAGCGAUGGAUGGUGAUGCCUGCAGCCUAUGGCCGAACUGGAGGUAAUUCGCUAGCGGAUCGAUAACCUACCGAAGGUUCGUGAAAGGCUGCCACACUGUUCGGAGCCCGGUUAGCAGUUCAAUCGUUCCUUUAUUUAAUGUUUGCUAGCUUGAGGAGACUGAAUAAAACGCUCUGGUUUGUGCUGUGAUUGUUUCUUUGCUGCUUACAGUCAAAAAGAAAAUAAAAACAAAGCAGGUGUCCGCUGAUAAUUGGCUGUUUUU
Long non-coding RNA from Catharus ustulatus (Swainson's thrush), 590 nucleotides. RefSeq lists it as uncharacterized. The transcript is spliced from 2 exons. Lineage: Eukaryota; Metazoa; Chordata; Aves; Passeriformes; Turdidae. The record is from RefSeq and is a predicted model, not a curated record.